Non-coding RNA from Rattus norvegicus (Norway rat), 454 nucleotides. The record is from RefSeq and is a predicted model, not a curated record. NCBI's taxonomy places the organism in Eukaryota, Metazoa, Chordata, Mammalia, Rodentia, Muridae.
CACACCCACUCCAACAAGGCCACACCUACUCCAACAAGGCCACACCUACUCCAACAAGGCCACACCUCAUAGUGCCACUCCCUGAGUGGAUCAUAUACAAACUGUCACAGAGAAGAAAUGUUUAGACUUAACUCUUUAAAAAUCUGAAUCACUGUAAGCUAGAGAGCUUGUGACAAAACCCUGGUAGUCGACCUUCACUCCAGGGUUUUGCAUUUUAUUGGUCUGAGGUGUGACCUGAGCGAAUGGCACUGCAGCCAGGCCAGAGAACCAACAGAUGUGAGGAGCACCGUGGUCAUAAGAAAGCCGGCAAAGACUCCACUCCAAGCACAGUAACAGGGGUGACAUCGUGGAAUUGGACCGCGGCCUACAGAGGGGCAAGGGGGUCCCCCAAGUAUUUUAAAGAGAACGGGCCAAAAUGGAGCCACACCAUUAAAAGGAAUUAACAAACCUGAAA